This is a long non-coding RNA of Drosophila teissieri, 785 nucleotides long. RefSeq lists it as uncharacterized. The transcript has 2 exons. The record is from RefSeq and is a predicted model, not a curated record. NCBI's taxonomy places the organism in Eukaryota, Metazoa, Arthropoda, Insecta, Diptera, Drosophilidae.
CCGCCUGUCAUGUUCGGAACUGGAAAUUCUAUUUUCGGACCACAAUUGGCAAACAACAGAAGUCUUUUUUAACGCCGAGUGAUGGGUAAAAAUGUCAGAGGCCUCACCGAGGCAUAUUAAACGCACCAUAGAGCGAGACGCGCAGUGAAUCAUAAAGUAAAUAAAUAAGUGCGACGCUCUCGGUGACCGAUUUGUUGAGGGACAGCAACGCAUCCGCUAGAUACUCACUGGGUUGUCCGAGAAUCUGGUCGGCGUUUCAGAUUCAGCUUUUGCUUCUGCAGCGCUUUUGAUUGUGAAUGUGAUUUUGUUUAUGUGCCGCAUUUUUCUGUUGAAAGACCAAACACAGACGUUCCGUUGUCACCGCAUUGCUGCAGAAAUUAACGUGCCUAUAUGGAAUAUCAGUCGCACUUAUCACAUUUCUUGACUUGGACUUACCCCGUUCGGUGGGGUGAGUCAGUUGUUGAGCAACUCGCUUGGCUUGACCAAGUGUUGGAUCACCGUGGUCGGGUUCUAAGUAGCAAACCCGUACUCGUACCAAUCACCGACUCCCAUAUACAGAAGACAUCGUGACACCUCCGCCGCUUUCCCCUUUUUCAAAAAUGCGACAAUCAAAUCGGCUGUUCGAUAUACUGAGAAAAAUAAUGGACAACUCUAUAUUCGUUGAUUUGGUAUUCAAGUGAAAAUAACCCACAUCUUUUUCGCCGUGCACAAUUUGUAUUAAUUUUGAAAUGGAACACGCGUAUGUCACAAUCACACCGAAACGAAAAAAUAAAGAAUUUAAUAUA